RNAcentral lists this ribosomal RNA (1710 nucleotides) under Anisonema sp. RNAcentral's name for it is "partial small subunit ribosomal RNA". It matches the Rfam family "Eukaryotic small subunit ribosomal RNA", at positions 1 to 1240 of the family's 1831-position model. The record is from RNAcentral. Lineage: Eukaryota; Euglenozoa; Anisonemea; Anisonemida; Anisonematidae.
UUUAACCUGGUUUGAUCCUGCCAGUCGUGGUAUGGUUCUUUCAAGGAAUAAGCCAUGCAUGUGUCAGAGAAAGCGACUGCCCUUAGCAAAACAGUGGAUCUGCGAAUGGCUCAUUAAAUCCAGCAUUCAUCUGCCCAGCCAGGCUCGAGUGAGAAGCUAAGGACGUGGUACUCUCGGGUAUCCAUCCGCCACAUGAACAGCCGCUCCAACUGGACGGCUAAUGCAUGCAAGGAGAAUGCCUCGGUUGUUGGUUUUCUGCAGGCUGUGUGAGUGGCUUUGUAGACUGCCAUCAUAAGAAGGAUACCUGGCAACCUGCCUGGAUCUCUCUUGGAACUAGCAUGCGGUGGAUCGACACGCGAAGACCAGCGCUUCGGCUCUCUUGGCCAAGCAGUUUGCAUGGAAGAAUCAGAUCCACCGUGUCACGGGUGAUAGCAGUGCGCAACACUUUCGGGAUGUUGCUUUGCCCUACGGUUGGGAUUCUGACCUAUCAGCUGAAGAUUGUGGCAUAUUGGCCUACAAUUGCCUUCACGGGUAACGGGGGAUGUGGGUUCGAUCCCGGAGAGGGAGCCUGAGAAACGGCUACCACGGCUAAGGCUGGCAGCAGGCGCGAAAAUUGCCCAUUGCAGACUCUUUGUAGUGUGAGGCAGCGACGAAAAAUGGCAGCAGUGCCCGUCAUCUGAUGGGUGCUGCUUGGCAAUGGAUGACAUUCAAAUCUCUCAGUGAGUAUCAAUCAGAGGGCAAGUCUGGUGCCAGCAGCCGCGGUAAUUCCAGCUCUGAGAGUGUAUGCAAAUGUUGCUGCUGUUAAAACGCUCGUAGUCGAUAGAAAGCAGUGGGCAGUGUCGCCCUGGAUUGCGUCCGGGUCUUGUGCCCUUGCAGCUCAGGCGAAAGGCGUUCUCUGUCGCCCAGCAGCACAGCAAAGCUGUGUCUUUGGCGUGUCAGUGGCCCUUCCUUUGUGACACCUUGCAGCUUGUCUGACAUGGAAAUGAUCCCCUUCGUUGGCAUAUUCUUGAGUGAUUGUGGCAGCAGUUUCCGCACGGACAGCAUGCGAGAAACAGGCUCUAUGACUGGGGCGUCCAUGGCAGUCACCAUGAACAAAACAGCGUGUCCAAGGCAGCCGAUUCGCUCGGCAGAAUGGUGAAGCAUGGGAUGACAAGGGAUCGACCGUUGAUGCGGCUUUUCUCACGGCACUUACAUGCUCAGUGGACAAUCCUGAGGCAGGCAGGUCUGACGCGUCCCUCACACGGCGCUGCAUUCUGUGCAGGCGGUUGUGCUUAAAGGAUGUGCCUUUCUGUCUGUUCUCAAAUGGUAAAGAUGAGAAUCCUUGGGGCUGUGCAUAUCGCAAGGCGAGAGGUGAAAUUCUGUGACCCUUGUGAGAUGAACUGUAGCGAAGGCGUUCAGCAAAAGGAUGUCUGUCGAUCAAGAACGAGAGUCUGGGGAUCGAAGAUGAUCAGAUACCGUUGUAGUCCAGGACCGUCAACCGUGCCAGCGGAGUGCAGGGUUUGCCAAGCCGAGCCUUUCUGCUCACUGCCAUUCUCUGUGCUUCAAUUCCCCUCAGACCGAGAAAUCCAAGCUUGUGGGUUCAGGGGGGAGUACUGUUGCAAGGCUGAAACUUAAAGGAAUUGACGGAAUGACACCACCAGGCGUGGAGUCUGCGGCUUAAUUUGACUCAAGCACGGGAAACGUUACCAGGGCCUGACCGCCUGUGAUGAU